UACGUAGGGGGCAAGCGUUGUCCGGAUUUAUUGGGCGUAAAGGGUCCGCAGGCGGUUUGGUAAGUUUGACGUGACAGUUCCUGGCUCAACUGGGAAAGUGCGUUGGAAACUGCCAGACUUGAGGGCUUCAGAGGGAUGCGGAAUUCCGGGUGGAGUGGUGAAAUGCGUAGAUAUCCGGAGGAACACCAAAGGCGAAGGCAGCAUCCUGGGAAGUCUCUGACGCUCAGGGACGAAAGCUAGGGGAG
RNAcentral lists this ribosomal RNA (245 nucleotides) under uncultured Ktedonobacter sp. RNAcentral describes it as "partial 16S ribosomal RNA". It matches the Rfam family "Bacterial small subunit ribosomal RNA", at positions 524 to 768 of the family's 1533-position model. The record is from RNAcentral. Lineage: Bacteria; Bacillati; Chloroflexota; Ktedonobacteria; Ktedonobacterales; Ktedonobacteraceae.